Molecule: ribosomal RNA, 548 nt
Filed under: uncultured Glomeromycotina
Lineage: Eukaryota; Fungi; Glomeromycota
Description: SSU rRNA
Rfam family: Eukaryotic small subunit ribosomal RNA
Source: RNAcentral
UUGGAGGGCAAGUCUGGUGCCAGCAGCCGCGGUAAUUCCAGCUCCAAUAGCGUAUAUUAAAGUUGCUGCAGUUAAAAAGCUCGUAGUUGAAUUUCGGGACCAUCAUGUCGGUCGUGCCUCGGUACGUACUGGCAUUGUUGGUUUCUCCCUUCUGACGAACCAUGAUGUCAUUUAUUUGGUGUUGUGGGGAAUCAGGACUGUUACUUUGAAAAAAUUAGAGUGUUUAAAGCAGGCUCACGCUUGAAUACAUUAGCAUGGAAUAAUGAAAUAGGACGUUUGAUUCUAUUUUGUUGGUUUCUAGGAUCGACGUAAUGAUUAAUAGGGAUAGUUGGGGGCAUUAGUAUUCAAUUGUCAGAGGUGAAAUUCUUGGAUUUAUUGAAGACUAACUACUGCGAAAGCAUUUGCCAAGGAUGUUUUCAUUAAUCAAGAACGAAAGUUAGGGGAUCGAAGACGAUCAGAUACCGUCGUAGUCUUAACCAUAAACUAUGCCGACUAGGGAUCGGAUGGUGUUAAUUUUUUAAUGACUCAUUCGGCGCCUUACGGGAAAC